Peromyscus leucopus (white-footed mouse) is the source of this 3708-nucleotide long non-coding RNA. RefSeq lists it as uncharacterized. NCBI's taxonomy places the organism in Eukaryota, Metazoa, Chordata, Mammalia, Rodentia, Cricetidae. The record is from RefSeq and is a predicted model, not a curated record. The transcript has 2 exons.
CAGCCACACUGUCAUGUGCUACAUGCCCUGUCUAGAAUUCUUUAGUCCCUUUCUUCCUGUCACAGAAUAAAGCCCAAACUCUAGCCUGACACGGAUGUAUGGAACGAUGAAUCUCCUUUCCUCUACCCAGGACAGAAUAAUAAUGCCAACACCAUCAUAGAAGUAUAGACAGGAUUGAGUGAAUUGAAGGGGCCCUCUACUCAACAGCGCCUCUCGGUGGUGAGUCCUCCAUACAGGGCAGGUUGGCUUCCUGCUGCUCCUGAGGAAUCAGUCACAGUCUUUUUCAUGGUGGAGUCUUCUUUUACCUGGGACUCUAGCCUUGCAAAUACCUGACCCUAUCUUGUCUUUAGUCUUCCUUAUUCCUUUAGGUUCUGCCAGGCUAGGGGGCUUGUUCUUUCCUCCUAAUUCUGAAGACUUUCUAGUCCUGUUCUACAGUCUCAGAAUAGGUUAUAUAGUCGAAUUUCCUACCUAAAUGUGGGAAACCAUCCACGCACUGCCUUCCCGGGGGCCAUUAGCUUCUACUUGAGCGCUUUGAAUGCUGAUGAGCCAUACUUAGCCUGCUUGUUCCCAUUUUUUUCAACAGCUCUAAUUAAAUAAUGAAAACAUGCAAUUAUCUUUUUAGUCAUGACUGUCUUGCCUUUUUAAUAAAAAUUUCAGUUCUUUCACAGGAACAAAGUAACUGCUCAAAAGGCAUUGAUUAUAUUUAUGCCUUAAAUUAUAAUUUCAUGACAUUAGUAGUUAAACCAUUUCUCCCAUUUUCUUCUAGCUAUACCAGUUGUUGGAGGAGAUGGCUUGCAUUGAAAGCCUCAUGAUUAUUGGAUGAUGCCUACAGUGAACUUUAACACAAAGACAGUAGAGAAAACCCUUCUGACUGAAGCUGAUGCCUCUUGUACUGAAGUUCCAGAGCCUACGGGGCCUUCCAGGAAAUUCCAACAAGUGAAGGAAAUCAGGUAAGAGACAAUAGGGAGAGGCGGGGGACUGGUGGAAUAUUAGAGAAUCUGGACACCCACUGAAGUGAUAUGGUAUACCAUUUGGCUCAGUUGUGUGGGAUAUGGUAAGUCUAUUAUGGCCAGAUUUUCAUGUUUCUUAGGAGGUACCAGAAAUAUAGAAUUAUACGUGAUAUCUGUCAAUUUGAAAAUGUUUCAAAUUGAAAAAAAAAACCCACCACAUUGGCCUAUAAUAUCCAUUCUUUGCUGGUGAACACACCUUAUAGUUUAACAGUUUGUAACUUCUAUUUUUCCAAAAUGGGUAAUUCCUGGAGCUCUGGGCACUGAUUCCCUAGGAACCACCAGGGACUUUAGCAUGAGAAUGGUGGAGAGCAGACUGAGACACAUAAACGCACAAGGAAGUCUGAGUCAUGUUUUAAACUAUUUGUAUUUUUUUUUUAUUGCAAAACAUUUGUUACAGAAAUUCCAGAAAGUUCUUUGCCUGUAGAAUCUGCCAACUUCUGCUUCAAAUUAUAUAUCUAAACAGACAAGCUCAAAGUGCAUUGUGAAUCCAGUAACAGACCGUUAAAAAAGAACAAUGCCUCUAGAUUUAUAUAUAUAUAUAUUCAUAGUGUCAGUAGAUAUGCAAACCUCUUUCUAUCAUACAUGAAAGAAGGAAAAGAUGUAUAUAUAUAUUUAGUAAACCCAAUUUCAAAAUCAUCAUAUUUAUAGGAAUUCAUUUAAAAAUGGUAUCUGAAUAAUUUCCCCCAUUAUAAACUAUGGUUAGAACAUUUACAAGUGAGAGUCUAAAUGCUAUGUUACGAAAUGGCUAUGAGUAGAGUGUACUGACUACAUGGACUGUCUUACACAGUGGUAGCAGCAAUAGAAACUCAGUUCAGAUGCUCCAGUGACAGGAAGCAGGUAAGUCUUCACAGGCUACAGUAUCCUUCCUCAUAGUCUCCCUCACGCUGAUCCUGUGUUUGGAUCCAGUCAAACAUGCUAAUUAACAUACAUGGAAGUCAUCCAGGAGUCACCCCGAAUAGGGUGAACUGCUUCUCCCAACUCAGAAUUCUUGAGUGUAUUUGAUGUGUUUGCUCUCUAUGUGAGAAUCAUGAAUCAGACCGUGCUUGGCUCCAAAUCAGAGGCCCCCAAACAUGGCCAUUGGGAAUUCUGCUGGCGCAUACCUAUGUGGCUAGUACAGAGGUUGAAAACCCAUAUUUGAAUCUUUCUGUGGGACAUAUAUAUAUAUAUAUUUGCAUGCCCUUGCAUUGUCUUUCCUAGGCCCAUUCCUUUGCAUUCUAGAUCUGGGUCUUGCAUUGAGUUUGUAAUCCCUUCAUAGAGAGAGAGGCAGGCGGCUGGGUGAAGAUGUAGAGGGCCUUUCAGGAUUCAGACAGGCAAUUCAGAAUUGGACAUGACAGGUGCUACAGCAGCCACGUUAGGAACUUGGUUGGAGGGAGGAGGUGAAGUCAACUGGAAGAUCAGACCUGGGUCAAAUUCAGAACAUCUGGCUUUUCCAUGUAGUUGAUGUUUGAGAUUACUGUUUUGGGGUCCAUAGGGAGGUAAUGGAUGAGUCUGUUGGUCUCACACACACGGAAAAAAAAAGGAGCUAGCUUUAGACUAAGGAAAAAGAAAGAAAGAAAAAAAAAAAAAAAGCUGUGCCCCCAGGCCCAAGGCUGAUCACACCCUGUGCCUCACAUUCUUCAGCAAUCCAAAAGGCCUGGAGCCAUAGCUGGCAUUAAUGCCCCUCAGAAUCUAUGGGCAUCUACAUAGAUGUCCAUCCGUUCACUUUCCAGCCCCCAACACCCAUGCGGGGAUCACAUGCUGCAGAAGGUGACCAGUUAUUCCAGGAAAAUUAGGAAAGGAAUCACCUCUUUUGAUUAUUCUGGAUGAUCUGGUUACCUGCACCCCCUCUUAGAUGACACACAGAAAUCAGUACAUCUUGAUUUUAUUAGGGGUGAUCAGCACAAGGAGGUCACGAGAGCAAAGGCCACACUAACACUCUCCGAAAUUAAUUUGAAAAAGAAAAGUGUUCUUCUUUAAUCAGAACCAACCCCCUCUUUUAUUGACUCUAAUCUGAGAGACAAGAUGCUUGACUCGUAGACACCAGAGACAGCACAGGUCAAAGCUGGUGGAGAGGAAAGAUUUCCCUACUCAUUUGGGGAGCAUUUAGACUGUGCAAGUUGGAACCAUCCUUUUCCAGAUGUUGAAUGACUUCUAACAAUGGAACAGCGACUUCUUUAAAGAAGACACUCUUUGGAGUCACCUGGUGCUUCAUCAAAAACACCCUGUUCCCACCUCUGGGCCCAGCUCACCCACAGGGUGUGAAAGCCACAGGACAAGAAGGGAGGUCUCAUCCAUUACCGUGGGACCAUCCACUCAUAGCGAUCUGUGUCUUUCUGUCCUGUCAUCGUGGACCUUUGGCUUUCAUCUCUGGUUUAGCAAUUUGCACCCAGGAAGCCUUAAAGACUGUGUCUUUUGCAUCUCACAGAUGCUGCCACACCUGGACCUCGGGACUCCAGAGUGGGGCUGGCUUGUCGUCUCUGGGUCCCCUAGCUAUUACAACUUGCAGUUGAUACCUUAUUUCAUAGUAUUCGUUCAGAGCUUCACCAGCUUGAAAGAAGAAACCCUUGACUACUUAGUUUUAAUUUUUGAAACCUGAACAUAGUCCCAUUUUAAGAAGCCCAACAAUUUGAGCGGGUCCCUAACUGGCUUAAGCAUUGCAGCAGACAAGAGUAAAAUGUUAAGUGCACUAAAAAAAAAAAAAAAAAAAAAAAAAAAAAAA